UGCAGUCGACGACUCUGGUAUUGAUUGGUGCUUGCUCAUGAUUUACAUUUGAGUGAGUGGCGAACUGGUGAGUAACACGUGGGAAACCUGCCCAGAAGCGGGGGAUAACACCUGGAAACAGAUGCUAAUACCGCAUAACAACUUGGACCGCAUGGUCCGAGCUUGAAAGAUGGCUUCGGCUAUCACUUUUGGAUGGUCCCGCGGCGUAUUAGCUAGAUGGUGAGGUAACGGCUCACCAUGGCAAUGAUACGUAGCCGACCUGAGAGGGUAAUCGGCCACAUUGGGACUGAGACACGGCCCAAACUCCUACGGGAGGCAGCAGUAGGGAAUCUUCCACAAUGGACGAAAGUCUGAUGGAGCAACGCCGCGUGAGUGAAGAAGGGUUUCGGCUCGUAAAACUCUGUUGUUAAAGAAGAACAUAUCUGAGAGUAACUGUUCAGGUAUUGACGGUAUUUAACCAGAAAGCCACGGCUAACUACGUGCCAGCAGCCGCGGUAAUACGUAGGUGGCAAGCGUUGUCCGGAUUUAUUGGGCGUAAAGCGAGCGCAGGCGGUUUUUUAAGUCUGAUGUGAAAGCCUUCGGCUCAACCGAAGAAGUGCAUCGGAAACUGGGAAACUUGAGUGCAGAAGAGGACAGUGGAACUCCAUGUGUAGCGGUGAAAUGCGUAGAUAUAUGGAAGAACACCAGUGGCGAAGGCGGCUGUCUGGUCUGUAACUGACGCUGAGGCUCGAAAGUAUGGGUAGCAAACAGGAUUAGAUACCCUGGUAGUCCAUACCGUAAACGAUGAAUGCUAAGUGUUGGAGGGUUUCCGCCCUUCAGUGCUGCAGCUAACGCAUUAAGCAUUCCGCCUGGGGAGUACGGCCGCAAGGCUGAAACUCAAAGGAAUUGACGGGGGCCCGCACAAGCGGUGGAGCAUGUGGUUUAAUUCGAAGCUACGCGAAGAACCUUACCAGGUCUUGACAUACUAUGCAAAUCUAAGAGAUUAGACGUUCCCUUCGGGGACAUGGAUACAGGUGGUGCAUGGUUGUCGUCAGCUCGUGUCGUGAGAUGUUGGGUUAAGUCCCGCAACGAGCGCAACCCUUAUUAUCAGUUGCCAGCAUUAAGUUGGGCACUCUGGUGAGACUGCCGGUGACAAACCGGAGGAAGGUGGGGAUGACGUCAAAUCAUCAUGCCCCUUAUGACCUGGGCUACACACGUGCUACAAUGGAUGGUACAACGAGUUGCGAACUCGCGAGAGUAAGCUAAUCUCUUAAAGCCAUUCUCAGUUCGGAUUGUAGGCUGCAACUCGCCUACAUGAAGUCGGAAUCGCUAGUAAUCGCGGAUCAGCAUGCCGCGGUGAAUACGUUCCCGGGCCUUGUACACACCGCCCGUCACACCAUGAGAGUUUGUAACACCCAAAGUCGGUGG
RNAcentral lists this ribosomal RNA (1407 nucleotides) under Lactiplantibacillus plantarum. Its description in RNAcentral is "bacterial SSU rRNA". It matches the Rfam family "Bacterial small subunit ribosomal RNA", at positions 56 to 1433 of the family's 1533-position model. Lineage: Bacteria; Bacillati; Bacillota; Bacilli; Lactobacillales; Lactobacillaceae. The record is from RNAcentral.